CACGUAGGGCGCAAGCGUUGUCCGGAAUUAUUGGGCGUAAAGAGCUCGUAGGCGGUCUGUUGCGUCUGCUGUGAAAACCCGGGGCUUAACCCCUGGCUUGCAGUGGAUACGGACAGACUAGAGGUAGGUAGGGGAGAAUGGAAUUCCCGGUGUAGCGGUGAAAUGCGCAGAUAUCGGGAGGAACACCGGUGGCGAAGGCGGUUCUCUGGGCAUUACCUGACGCUGAGGAGCGAAAGUGUGGGGAGCGAACAGG
Molecule: ribosomal RNA, 253 nt
Filed under: uncultured bacterium
Lineage: Bacteria
Description: partial 16S ribosomal RNA
Rfam family: Bacterial small subunit ribosomal RNA
Source: RNAcentral